GCGGGUUUAGCUCAGUUGGGAGAGCGUCAGACUGAAGUCAAACUUCACCAGUACAUCUGAAGGUCGUGUGUUCGAUCCACACAAACCGCA
Non-coding RNA from Coniochaeta sp. 2T2.1, 90 nucleotides. The record is from the annotation of a GenBank genome assembly. Lineage: Eukaryota; Fungi; Ascomycota; Sordariomycetes; Coniochaetales; Coniochaetaceae.